RNAcentral lists this ribosomal RNA (541 nucleotides) under uncultured bacterium. RNAcentral describes it as "partial 16S ribosomal RNA". It matches the Rfam family "Bacterial small subunit ribosomal RNA", at positions 355 to 914 of the family's 1533-position model. The record is from RNAcentral.
UAGGGAAUCUUGCGCAAUGGGCGAAAGCCUGACGCAGCCAUGCCGCGUGAAUGAUGAAGGUCUUAGGAUUGUAAAAUUCUUUCACCGGGGAAGAUAAUGACGGUACCCGGAGAAGAAGCCCCGGCUAACUUCGUGCCAGCAGCCGCGGUAAUACGAAGGGGGCUAGCGUUGCUCGGAAUUACUGGGCGUAAAGGGCGCGUAGGCGGAUAUUUAAGUUGGGGGUGAAAGCCCGGGGCUCAACCUCGGAAUAGCCUUCAAUACUGGAUAUCUUGAGUUCGGGAGAGGUGAGUGGAAUGCCGAGUGUAGAGGUGAAAUUCGUAGAUAUUCGGCGGAACACCAGUGGCGAAGGCGACUCACUGGCCCGAUACUGACGCUGAGGCGCGAAAGCGUGGGGAGCAAACAGGAUUAGAUACCCUGGUAGUCCACGCCGUAAACGAUGAGUGCUAGUUGUCGGCAUGCAUGCAUGUCGGUGACGCAGCUAACGCAUUAAGCACUCCGCCUGGGGAGUACGGUCGCAAGAUUAAAACUCAAAUGAAUUGAC